This 378-nucleotide ribosomal RNA is filed under the name uncultured bacterium. RNAcentral's name for it is "bacterial SSU rRNA". It matches the Rfam family "Bacterial small subunit ribosomal RNA", at positions 521 to 896 of the family's 1533-position model. The record is from RNAcentral.
UAAGACGUAGGGCGCGAGCGUUGUCCGGAUUUAUUGGGCGUAAAGGGCUCGUAGGCGGUUGAUUGCGUCCGCCGUGAAAGGCCUCGGCUUAACCGGGGUUUUGCGGUGGAUACGGGUCGACUUGAGGCAAUUAGGGGAGAUCGGAAUUCUACGUGUAGCGGUGAAAUGCGCAGAUAUGUGGAGGAACACCGGUGGCGAAGGCGGAUCUCUGGGAUUGUUCUGACGCUGAGGAGCGAAAGCAUGGGGAGCGAACAGGAUUAGAUACCCUGGUAGUCCAUGCUGUAAACGGUGGGCGCUAGGUGUGGGGUCACGUUGGUUGAUUCCGUGCCGUAGCUAACGCAUUAAGCGCCCCGCCUGGGGAGUACGGCCGCAAGGCUA